AAAUUGAAGAGUUUGAUCAUGGCUCAGAUUGAACGCUGGCGGCAGGCCUAACACAUGCAAGUCGAACGGUAACAGGAAACAGCUUGCUGUUUCGCUGACGAGUGGCGGACGGGUGAGUAAUGUCUGGGAAACUGCCUGAUGGAGGGGGAUAACUACUGGAAAC
RNAcentral lists this ribosomal RNA (163 nucleotides) under Escherichia coli. Its description in RNAcentral is "partial 16S ribosomal RNA". It matches the Rfam family "Bacterial small subunit ribosomal RNA", at positions 1 to 157 of the family's 1533-position model. The record is from RNAcentral. Lineage: Bacteria; Pseudomonadati; Pseudomonadota; Gammaproteobacteria; Enterobacterales; Enterobacteriaceae.